UUUAAGUGAAGAGUUUGAUCCUGGCUCAGAGUGAACGCUGGCGGUAGGCCUAACACAUGCAAGUCGAACGGCAGCACAGGAGAGCUUGCUCUCUGGGUGGCGAGUGGCGGACGGGUGAGGAAUACAUCGGAAUCUACUCUGUCGUGGGGG
This 150-nucleotide ribosomal RNA is filed under the name Stenotrophomonas maltophilia. RNAcentral describes it as "partial 16S ribosomal RNA". It matches the Rfam family "Bacterial small subunit ribosomal RNA", at positions 1 to 142 of the family's 1533-position model. The record is from RNAcentral. Lineage: Bacteria; Pseudomonadati; Pseudomonadota; Gammaproteobacteria; Lysobacterales; Lysobacteraceae.